RNAcentral lists this ribosomal RNA (497 nucleotides) under uncultured bacterium. Its description in RNAcentral is "partial 16S ribosomal RNA". It matches the Rfam family "Bacterial small subunit ribosomal RNA", at positions 28 to 507 of the family's 1533-position model. The record is from RNAcentral.
GAUGAACGCUGGCGGCGUGCUUAAUACAUGCAAGUCGAGCGAACGGACGAGGCGCUUGCGGCUCUGAUGUUAGCGGCGGACGGGUGAGUAACACGUGGAUCACCUACCUAUCAUACUGGGAUAAUUACGGGAAACCGGAGCUAAUACCGGAGGAGAUUCUGAACCGCAUGGUUCAAAGGUGAAAUACGGUGUUGCUGUCACUAAUCGAUGGAUUCCGGCUGCAUGAGCUAGUUGGUAAGGUAACGGCUUACCAAGGCAACGAUGCAUAGCCGACCUGAGGGAGUGGUCGGCGACCCUGGAGCUUAGACGCGGUCCAUACUCCUACGGGAGGCACCAGUAGGGAAUCUUCCGCAGUGGGCGGGAGCAUGACGGAACAACGGGACGUGAGUUAUGGCGGUGUUCGGAGCGUAAUACCGUGUUUUGGGGGGAAAACCUAUGUCUAAGUAGAUGUGCACAUAUUGACGGUACCUGGUCAGGAAGCAACGGCUAACUACGUG